Molecule: non-coding RNA, 135 nt
Organism: Triticum aestivum (bread wheat)
Lineage: Eukaryota; Viridiplantae; Streptophyta; Magnoliopsida; Poales; Poaceae
Source: Rfam
UAAUUACUCCCUCCGUCCCAAAAUUCUUGUCUUAGAUUUGCCUAGAUAUGGAUGUAUCUAAUACUAAAACGUGACUUGAUACAUCCGUGUUUAGAUAAAUUCAAGACAAGAAUUUUGGGACAGAGGGAGUAUCAU